RNAcentral lists this small RNA (195 nucleotides) under Nocardioides sp. RNAcentral describes it as "c-di-AMP sequence". It matches the Rfam family "c-di-AMP riboswitch aptamer (ydaO/yuaA leader)". Rfam says of the family: This family represents a conserved RNA structure found upstream of the ydaO and yuaA genes in Bacillus subtilis and related genes in other bacteria. The record is from RNAcentral. Lineage: Bacteria; Bacillati; Actinomycetota; Actinomycetes; Propionibacteriales; Nocardioidaceae.
GCUCCGGGUUCGCCGAAUCCUGCCCGUCCGGAGCGUCCCCCGAGACACGAAUUCAUCGGGCAGGAGUGGGGGACCCACAGGUUCCACGCCGGGAUCGUCGCUCGACGAUCGCGGCUCGGGGUGAAGUCACGCGAGUGACGGAGCACUUUCCAGCUCCAACCCGACAGCUCACCUCACAGGCGUGGGAAAGGAAUC